This 450-nucleotide ribosomal RNA is filed under the name uncultured bacterium. RNAcentral's name for it is "partial 16S ribosomal RNA". It matches the Rfam family "Bacterial small subunit ribosomal RNA", at positions 338 to 795 of the family's 1533-position model. The record is from RNAcentral.
CCUACGGGCGGCUGCAGUGGGGAAUAUUGGACAAUGGGGGAAACCCUGAUCCAGCAAUGCCGCGUGUGUGAAGAAGGCCUGCGGGUUGUAAAGCACUUUCGGUUGGGAAGAAAAGUUUGGCGCCAAUACCGCCGAACCUUGACGUUACUGACAGAAGAAGCACCGGCUAACUCUGUGCCAGCAGCCGCGGUAAUACAGAGGGUGCAAGCGUGAAUCAGAGCGUCUGGGCGUAAAGAUUCAGUAGGGGUUUGAAAUCCCCGGGCUUAACCUGGGAACUGCAUUCGAUACUACAUGGCUAGAGUAUGGUAGAGGGAAGUGGAAUUUCCGGUGUAGCGGUGAAAUGCGUAGAUAUCGGAAGGAACACCAAUGGCGAAGGCAGCUUCCUGGACUAAUACUGACACUGAGGCACGAAAGCGUGGGUAGCAAACAGGAUUAGAUACCCCAGUAGUC